UUCCCCAGUUGUGUCCCAUUCUCCGGCUGUCCCAGUUCCCCGGCUGUCUCCAUUCCCCGGCUGUCCCGGUUCCCGGUUCCCCGUUCCCCGGCUGUCUCCGUUCCCCGGUCAUCUCCCGUUCCCCGGCUCCCCCGUUCCCCGGCUGUCCCGGUUCCCGGUUCCCCGUUCCCCGGCUGUCCCGGUUCCCGGUUCCC
RNAcentral lists this long non-coding RNA (194 nucleotides) under Parus major (Great Tit). Its description in RNAcentral is "lncRNA (ENSPMJG00000004320.1)". The record is from RNAcentral. Lineage: Eukaryota; Metazoa; Chordata; Aves; Passeriformes; Paridae.